GAUGAACGCUAGCGGGAGGCUUAAUACAUGCAAGUCGAGCGGCAAGUUUUGAUAGCAAUAUUGGAACCUAGAGCGGCGCACGGGUGAGUAACGCGUACAUGACCUGCCCUAUACUGGGGGAUAGUCUUGGGAAACUGAGAAUAAUCCCGCAUGUGAUUAGAAUGCUGCAUGGCAAAUUAAUUGAAGCUGAGGCGGUAUAGGAUGGGUGUGCGUCUGAUUAGCUAGUUGGUAGUGUAACGGACUACCAAGGCGAUGAUCAGUAGGGGGCGUGAGAGCGUGACCCCCCACACGGGUACUGAGACACGGACCCGACUCCUACGGGAGGCAGCAGUAAGGAAUAUUGGACAAUGGGCGGAAGCCUGAUCCAGCCAUGCCGCGUGAAGGACGAAGGCGCUCAGCGUUGUAAACUUCUUUUGGAUGGGAACAAUAACUCCGACUUGUCGGAACUUGAGGGUACCAUCAGAAUAAGCACCGGCUAACUCCGUG
RNAcentral lists this ribosomal RNA (486 nucleotides) under uncultured bacterium. RNAcentral's name for it is "bacterial SSU rRNA". It matches the Rfam family "Bacterial small subunit ribosomal RNA", at positions 28 to 507 of the family's 1533-position model. The record is from RNAcentral.